AUUGAACGCUGGCGGCAUGCCUUACACAUGCAAGUCGAACGGCAGCACGGGAGCAAUCCUGGUGGCGAGUGGCGAACGGGUGAGUAAAGUAUCGGAACGUGCCCAGUCGUGGGGGAUAACGUAGCGAAAGUUACGCUAAUACCGCAUACGAUCUAUGAAUGAAAGCGGGGGAUCGCAAGACCUCGCGCGAUUGGAGCGGCCGAUAUCAGAUUAGGUAGUUGGUGGGGUAAAGGCUCACCAAGCCGACGAUCUGUAGCUGGUCUGAGAGGACGACCAGCCACACUGGGACUGAGACACGGCCCAGACUCCUACGGGAGGCAGCAGUGGGGAAUUUUGGACAAUGGGCGGAAGCCUGAUCCAGCCAUGCCGCGUGCAGGAUGAAGGCCUUCGGGUUGUAAACUGCUUUUGUACGGAACGAAAAGGUUUGGCCUAAUAAGCUGAGCUCAUGACGGUACCGUAAGAAUAAGCACCGGCUAACUACGUGCCAGCAGCCGCCGUAA
RNAcentral lists this ribosomal RNA (500 nucleotides) under uncultured bacterium. RNAcentral's name for it is "partial 16S ribosomal RNA". It matches the Rfam family "Bacterial small subunit ribosomal RNA", at positions 30 to 523 of the family's 1533-position model. The record is from RNAcentral.